RNAcentral lists this transfer RNA (72 nucleotides) under Selaginella moellendorffii. It matches the Rfam family "tRNA". From Rfam's summary of the family: Transfer RNA (tRNA) molecules are approximately 80 nucleotides in length. Their secondary structure includes four short double-helical elements and three loops (D, anti-codon, and T loops). Lineage: Eukaryota; Viridiplantae; Streptophyta; Lycopodiopsida; Selaginellales; Selaginellaceae. The record is from Rfam by way of RNAcentral.
GGGCAUUUGGUCUAGUGGUAUGAUUCUCGCUUUGGGUGUGAGAGGUCGCGAGUUCGAUUCUCGCAAUGCCCC